AGCUCCAUCCACUACACCACCUAGCUGUCCCUCAGAGAACUCCUGAUGAAACAUGCUACCACAUCCUGACAGAAGGGACAGACUCAGAGGGAAGAAUGAGACAAUUUAUUCGAUCACAGGUCAACGUGGUAAUUUGUUUUACUUGAACAUAUACAUUUGUAACAGGGGUUGUUUUUUCUUUUUUUUCUCACAGAAAUGGGAUGUGGGUCAGGGAACUGGAGUUGAGAAAAGGUGGAUGUUUGUUGACUGAAAAACAAAAUUUAAUUAUAAAAAGGCAAAAGGGAAGAUUUUUCACCUAACAACAUAACUCAGUCUCGGGGCAAAUAUAUUUAUACAGUGGUAUGGAGGAAGAAGAAUAGAUGCAGAAAACUUUCCAGGAAGUUAUGGCAAUAUUUCAAGAGGAUGAGAAAGAGGCUAGAACUAGGAUACUGGCCACAUGAGCAAAGACAAGAGGUGGAAUGAGGAGGAAUGUCAUUGUAAGGGAAACUGAGGAGAGAUCCUCCCCAGCCCCUGGUGUAACUGCCUCAUUACCUGACACAAAGAAUGUAAAUUGGAGUCAGCCUACAUGGCCGAGGGUACCAUGGAAAUGGAACAUUAAACACCUAACAAAUUAUGUUACCUGGGAAAACAAUCCUUAUCUCAGGGAACAUUUUUCUCAAAAAGAAUGUGUAUCUGUCCAGAGACCUGAUCACUCCCUGGAAACUUACACAACAAACAGGUAGUCGGAGCUCUCAUCAAGCUCCAACCUUUGUUAGAAUGUGUGUGUACCCUGGAUCUGAGUAAUCACCAGGGAGAUGUACACAAAACAAGGUGUGAAGAUUGUUUGUCCCUGGUUUACACAGCUAUAAAAAAGGGUCAUUUCAAAGGAAGAUUUUGGAGUACUUUGAUGCAGAGAUAGGGAUGCCGACUCUCUGCCAGAGGCGGAUCCCAUGCAGUCUCCAUUGCCUCCCAGACCAGACCCAUUGGGCCAUGUCCAGUCUCCCCAGUUCUAUGGGUAUUUGAGCUCACCUGAUCCAAACCUAAAUUGAAUCUGCGCAGUAGGUAAUCCUUUCGAUUACAGUCUAUGAGACUGUGAGUUCCCAGGACAGGAAGAAUCAUUUUGUGCACCCUUAUAGUCUCACGUGACGGUUGUGAGGUUUGUGAUUACUACAGAAAUGGGAGAAGGUAAGCUCCUCGAAGGCAAGGACUGCUGACCUGGAAGAAACUGACUGAUCCUACGACUUGGGUUCAUGCCUCA
This is a non-coding RNA of Phascolarctos cinereus (koala), 1237 nucleotides long. The record is from RefSeq and is a predicted model, not a curated record. Lineage: Eukaryota; Metazoa; Chordata; Mammalia; Diprotodontia; Phascolarctidae.